This 497-nucleotide ribosomal RNA is filed under the name uncultured bacterium. RNAcentral describes it as "partial 16S ribosomal RNA". It matches the Rfam family "Bacterial small subunit ribosomal RNA", at positions 28 to 507 of the family's 1533-position model. The record is from RNAcentral.
GAUGAACGCUGGCGGCGUGCCUAAUACAUGCAAGUCGAGCGAACGGACGAGAAGCUUGCUUCUCUGAUGUUAGCGGCUGACGGGUGAGUAACACGUGGAUAACCUACCUAUAAGACUGGGGUAACUUCGGGAAACCGGAGCUAAUACUGGAUAAUAUUUUGAACGGCAUGGUUCAAAAGUGAAAGGCGGUCUGGCUGUCACUUAGAGAUGGAUCCGCGCUGCAUUAGCUAGUUGGUAAGGUAACGGCUUACCAAGGCAACGAUGCAUAGCCGACCUGAGAGGGUGAUCGGCCACACUGGAACUGAGACACGGUCCAGACUCCUACGGGAGGCAGCAGUAGGGAAUCUUCCGCAAUGGGCGCAAGCCUGACGGAGCAACGCCGCGUGAGUGAUGAAGGUCUUCGGAUCGUAAAACUCUGUUAUUAGGGAAGAACAUAUGUGUAAGUAACUGUGCACAUCUUGACGGUACCUAAUCAGAAAGCCACGGCUAACUACGUG